ACGAACGCUGGCGGCGUGCCUAAUACAUGCAAGUUGCGCGAUGAAGAUUGGUGCUUGCACCAAUUUGAAGAGCAGCGAACGGGUGAGUAACGCGUGGGGAAUCUGCCUUUGAGCGGGGGACAACAUUUGGAAACGAAUGCUAAUACCGCAUAACAACUUUAAACAUAAGUUUUAAGUUUGAAAGAUGCAAUUGCAUCACUCAAAGAUGAUCCCGCGUUGUAUUAGCUAGUUGGUGAGGUAAAGGCUCACCAAGGCGAUGAUACAUAGCCGACCUGAGAGGGUGAUCGGCCACAUUGGGACUGAGACACGGCCCAAACUCCUACGGGAGGCAGCAGUAGGGAAUCUUCGGCAAUGGACGAAAGUCUGACCGAGCAACGCCGCGUGAGUGAAGAAGGUUGUCGGAUCGUAAAACUCUGUUGGUAGAGAAGAACGUUGGUGAGAGUGGAAAGCUCAUCAAGUGACGGUAACUACCCAGAAAGGGACGGCUAACUACGUG
This 496-nucleotide ribosomal RNA is filed under the name uncultured bacterium. RNAcentral's name for it is "partial 16S ribosomal RNA". It matches the Rfam family "Bacterial small subunit ribosomal RNA", at positions 29 to 507 of the family's 1533-position model. The record is from RNAcentral.